AGCUCCAAUAGCGUAUAUUAAAGUUGUUGUGGUUAAAAAGCUCGUAGUUGGAUCUCGGCGGUCUUGGGGCGGUUCGCUUUGUUGUGUGCUUCUUUUCUAUAGGCCGCGGUUUUUCCAGAGGUCUCGGGGCGCUUUUUACCGAGUGUCUUGCGAUGCUGGCAGGUUUACUUUGAAAAAAUUAGAGUGCUCAAAGCAGGCUUUUACGCCUGAAUAUUCGUGCAUGGAAUAAUAGAAUAGGAAGUCGUUUCUAUUUUGUUGGUUUUCGGAAAUCGACUUAAUGAUUAAUAGGGACAGUCGGGGGCAUUUGUAUUCAAACGACAGAGGUGAAAUUCUUGGACCGUUUGAAGACAAACUACUGCGAAAGCAUUUGCCAAGAAUGUUUUCA
Molecule: ribosomal RNA, 385 nt
Filed under: marine copepod environmental sample
Lineage: Eukaryota; Metazoa; Arthropoda; Copepoda
Description: SSU rRNA
Rfam family: Eukaryotic small subunit ribosomal RNA
Source: RNAcentral